GAGAGGAGCUUGCUCUUCUUGAAUGAGUUGCGAAGCGGGUGAGUAACGCGUAGGUAACCUGCCUUGUAGCGGGGGAUAACUAUUGGAAACGAUAGCUAAUACCGCAUAACAAUGGGUGACACAUGUCAUUUAUUUGAAAGGGGCAAUUGCUCCACUACAAGAUGGACCUGCGUUGUAUUAGCUAGUAGGUGAGGUAACGGCUCACCUAGGCGACGAUACAUAGCCGACCUGAGAGGGUGAUCGGCCACACUGGGACUGAGACACGGCCCAGACUCCUACGGGAGGCAGCAGUAGGGAAUCUUCGGCAAUGGGGGCAACCCUGACCGAGCAACGCCGCGUGAGUGAAGAAGGUUUUCGGAUCGUAAAGCUCUGUUGUAAGUCAAGAACGAGUGUGAGAGUGGAAAGUUCACACUGUGACGGUAGCUUACCAGAAAGGGACGGCUAACUACGUGCCAGCAGCCGCGGUAAUACGUAGGUCCCGAGCGUUGUCCGGAUUUAUUGGGCGUAAAGCGAGCGCAGGCGGUUUGAUAAGUCUGAAGUUAAAGGCUGUGGCUCAACCA
RNAcentral lists this ribosomal RNA (560 nucleotides) under uncultured Bacilli bacterium. RNAcentral describes it as "bacterial SSU rRNA". It matches the Rfam family "Bacterial small subunit ribosomal RNA", at positions 71 to 615 of the family's 1533-position model. Lineage: Bacteria; Bacillati; Bacillota; Bacilli. The record is from RNAcentral.